RNAcentral lists this ribosomal RNA (406 nucleotides) under uncultured bacterium. RNAcentral's name for it is "partial 16S ribosomal RNA". It matches the Rfam family "Bacterial small subunit ribosomal RNA", at positions 30 to 526 of the family's 1533-position model. The record is from RNAcentral.
AUUGAACGCUGGCGGCAGGCUUAACACAUGCAAGUCGAGCGAGCGGCGGACGGGUGAGUAAUGUCUGGGAAACUGCCUGAUGGAGGGGGAUAACUACUGGAAACGGUAGCUAAUCCCGCAUACCAUCAGAUGUACCCAGAGGGGAUUAGCUAGUAGGUGGGGUAAUGGCUCACCUAGGCGACGAUCCCGAGCUGGUCUGAGAGGAUGCCAAGCCACACUGGAACUGAGACACGGUCCAGACUCCUACGGGAGGCAGCAGUGGGGAAUAUUGCACAAUGGGCGAAAGCCUGAUGCAGCCAUGCCGCGUGUGUGAAGAAGUCCUUCGGGUUGUAAAGCACGUUCAGCGAGGAGGCGUUACUCGCAGAAGAAGCACCGGCUAACUCCGUGCCAGCCGCGGCGGUAAUUC